This 511-nucleotide unclassified non-coding RNA is filed under the name Hevea brasiliensis (rubber tree). Lineage: Eukaryota; Viridiplantae; Streptophyta; Magnoliopsida; Malpighiales; Euphorbiaceae. The record is from RNAcentral.
UUGUUUUUUGGUUUUUUUUUUUUUGAAGAAAGAAGUACAAAUUCUUAAUAUGCACCAUGAUAAGCAUAGAGCAUAUAUCGCAUCUAUUCCAAACAAAAUUGCAGGUGAAAAUAAUACCUAUACUGUUGGUUUUCAUUACAACAUCCAACAAGCUUUCUCCAAGCAUGGAUGACGAGAGCAAUGCUUUGAGCGCCCACUUGUACCCACACAUGAUAUCUCAAACGAAUGUAAGUACUGCCUAUCCAUUCAUUGAUUUUGCUCUCACGUUGUAUCUCUAGUAGAAAGUUUGCAGGAUUCUAAAUACAGCGAGGAGGUUGCCCAAAUGUCCAUUCAUUCCAGAAACAUUAAUUUACUGCGCUUCAAUCCUUGUGUCCAAAUAUCGUACCUGAUGAAACCAUGUACUCGACUCAUCAAAGAGGGCAACAUAUUUCCAGUUACUGAUGGUUAGAUUAGGCUCCUUUUUUCUUUUUGUCUUUGGAUGGUUUUACAUCUUUUGUGAGCAUCCUUGGUG